RNAcentral lists this long non-coding RNA (958 nucleotides) under Piliocolobus tephrosceles (Ugandan red Colobus). RNAcentral describes it as "lncRNA (ENSPTEG00000013693.1)". The record is from RNAcentral. Lineage: Eukaryota; Metazoa; Chordata; Mammalia; Primates; Cercopithecidae.
AUCUUUACCUAAUAAUAUUACUUCUCCUCCUACAAUUAAUACUGUUACUCCUCCACCAAUGCCACAAAAAAUUAAUACCCCAUCUGGUGUUUAUGCUUCUCCUACAGGUCCUCCAUCCAUACCUGGUUUAUCAAACAGAAACACAUCCAUUUCAUUAAAUUCAAUUACACCUCCAAUCACUCCAAAAUUUAUGCAAGAUAAUAAAAAUAUUAAACGGGAGACGCAAGACCAGUCAAUGUUCAUACCCUCAACUAUGUCACAACCCAUAUCCCCUAUGGCAGUUAUGCCACCUACAAGUCCAAUGAAUUUUCAAACCCCCUACCAAAGCAAUGCGAAUAUGGGCAAUUACAAUCAACAACCUCAAUCACAACAACCCUCAUCACAACAAUCUUCAUCACAGCAACCACCAUCACAAGGAAUUAAAACUACAUCACCUGUGGCUGGUGCUUUGUCAGUAACCCCCGGAAUGCCUGUGCCAUGGCCAAUUCCUACAACAACGCAGCAACUCGGAUCCACCACUCAGUCAACUGUCAAUGAAAACAAAAUGGUACACACAGCUAUAAAAAAAACAACUGGCACACCUAUGAAUAGAAACGACAUUGAGAACAUAAAAAGAGUAAUCAGUAAUUUCUUAAACAUGUAUACAUCUCAAGAACCUAUUAAAAAAAAAGCUGAAGACAUUGUAGCAAAGAUAAAUGAUUUUUUUGAUAAAUUGGAAAAAGCAACAUUCACUGAACAAGUGAAUAAUACUCUCAUAAAUUUAGUCAACUGUUUGAGCAAUAAUGAUAUUAAAAGUGCAAAUAAAAUUUUAAUUGAUCUCAGUAGAACAUUGUGGGAUGGAAAUAAUAAGACAUGGAUUAUGGGACUAAAAUGCAUAAUACCGAAGUGAAUGACGUCACACAUGUGACACGCACAUGCAUUAUUGUGCAUUACAAAUAAACAUAUAUACAUACAUACA